GUUUCUCUCUCUCUAUUCAUUUCUUUCUCGUUUCUUCCCACUCUUUUUUUUCUUCUUUCUCCCCAAUUUCCAAAUCUCAAUCCUAAAAGGGUUUUCCCCAAACCAACAAUUGCAAGCCCCAAAUCCAUCUACCAGCGGCAACGAGGAAGCCGAUUGCUGUUUUGUCGGCCAAGCAAGAAGCUGGAACAGAAAUGAAAAUGGAUAUGAACUGAUUUGGUAUGUGAAGGGGAGACUGUUGGGGUGUACGGUGGAGGAGUGAGUUCUGAGUUCUGUGCAACAAUGGAGGUUCCCAUCAUUCCUUCAAUGCUUUUCUUCCCCGUUUGUGUUCUCUCCAUUGCAGAUGGUGGCUCUGUCCGCGUGAACUAUGGUCUCUCCAUUGCAGGCGAAAAUUGAGUUCCUGUUGUCAUAGUGUAAUCAACCUUGGAACUGCCUGUUUCUAAAUGCUUUAGAUGCUAUGGUGGAUUAUGAGGACAAUGUGGAAUGUGGUGAAGAAGGGAUUGGUCUAAACAUGGUUGAUGUUGUAGAUGCUGGAGAAAAUAGGGAUGGUCAGGUAAGCAGUUCUCACAAGGGAGACAUUUUGGGGAUUGAAGGCGACAACUUUGAGCCACAUGAUGGGAUCGAAUUUGAAUCCCAUGAAGCGGCCUAUUCUUUUUAUCAGGAGUAUGCAAAGUCUAUGGGAUUCACCACCUCAAUUAAAAACAGCCGUCGUUCAAAGAAAACAAAAGAAUUUAUAGAUGCUAAGUUUGCAUGUUCGAGAUAUGGGGUCACACCAGAAUCUGAGAGUGGCAGUAGUAGAAGGCCAAGUGUAAAAAAGACGGAUUGUAAGGCCAGUAUGCAUGUAAAGAGAAAACGAGAUGGGAAAUGGUAUAUUCACGAAUUUAUAAAGGAGCACAAUCAUGAGCUUUUACCUGCAUUAGCUUAUCAUUUUCGUAUACAUAGGAAUGUAAAAUUAGCUGAAAAGAAUAAUAUAGAUAUUCUGCAUGCGGUUAGUGAGCGUACAAGGAAGAUGUAUGUUGAGAUGUCUAGACAAUCUGGUGGGAGUUUUAAUUCUUGCCUCAGUAAGAAUGAGUUCGAUCACCAGUUUGACAGAGGUCGGUACUUGGCAUUAGAAGAGGGGGAUGCUCAAGUCAUGCUUGAGUAUUUUGUACAAAUCCAAAAAGAGAAUCCUGGUUUCUUUUAUGCGAUUGACUUGAAUGAAGAUCAGCGUCUGAGGAACUUGUUUUGGGUUGAUGCCAAAACCAGGAAAGACUAUAUCAGCUUCAGUGAUGCUGUUUUCUUUGACACUAGUUACAUUAAAAUCAAUGAGAAGAUGCCUAUUGCUCUGUUCCUGGGGGUAAACCAUCAUUUUCAGCCUAUGUUGCUUGGAUGUGCUCUAUUAGCUGAUGAAACUAAGCCAACAUUUGUUUGGUUAAUGAAGACAUGGCUCAGAGCAAUGGGUGGGCAAGCUCCAACAGUUAUCAUUACUGAUCCAGAUAAACAAUUGAAAUCAGCUAUUGAAGAAGUUUUCCCAUAUUCACGUCAUUGCUUUGCUCUUUGGCAUAUAUUGGAAAGAAUACAUGAAACUCUUGCUCAUGUACUCAAACAACAUGAAAAUUUUAUGAAAAAAUUCAACAAGUGCAUAUUCAAGUCAUUGACAGAUGAAGAGUUUGACAUGAGGUGGUGGAAGAUGGUCGGCAGAUUUGAACUACAAGAAAAUGAAUGGGUUCAUUCAAUGUAUGUGGACCGUAAAAAAUGGGUUCCCACUUUCAUGAGAGACAUAUUUUUGGCUGGGUUGUCUACAUAUCAGCGUUCUGAAAGUGUGAACUCUUUCUUUGACAAAUACAUUCACAAAAAGAUCAAUCUGAAAGAGUUUGUGAGACAAUAUGGGGCAAUACUUCAAAAUAGGUAUGAAGAGGAAGACAUGGCAGACUUUGAUACUUUGCACAAACAACCAGCGCUCAGGUCACCUUCUCCUUGGGAAAAACAAAUGUCGACAAUUUUGACGCAUGCAAUAUUUAGAAAAUUCCAAGUUGAGGUUUUGGGUGUGGUAGGAUGCCAUCCCAAGAAAGAGAAGGAGAUGGGAGCCAAUGUUAUUUUUAGAGUUGACGAUUGUGAAAAAACUGAGAAUUUUGUGGUUACAUGGAAUGAGGCAAAGUCAGAAGUUUCUUGUUCAUGUCUAAUGUUUGAAUAUAAAGGUUUUCUCUGCAGACAUUCAAUGAUUGUCCUCCAAAUAUGUGGUCUUCCUAGUAUCCCAUCUCGAUAUAUCCUUAAGAGGUGGACAAAAGAUGCCAAGAGCAGACAGGCUGUGGUAGAUGGAAAUGAAAGAAUCCAAACUAGGGUGCAAAGAUACAAUGAUCUUUGUAAGCGGGCUAUUGAACUAGGAGAAGAAGGUUCUUUGUCUGAGGAGAAUUACAACAUUGCUUGUCGUGCUUUAGUCGAAGCUCUGAAGAACUGUGUGAAUGUUAAUAACAGAACUGCUGCAGAAUGUAGUAAUAACUCUGUGGGACUUCGUUGUGCUGAGGAAGAGAACCAGUUGCUCCAUGUGACCAAAACAAACAAGAAGAAGAAUACAAACAAGAAGAGAAAGUUACAACCAGAGCCAGAAGCAGUUGUUAUUGAGGCUUCUGACAGUUUGCAACAAAUGGAAAACCUAAGCUCGGAAGGAAUUACCCUGAAUGGAUACUAUGGAUCCCAACAGCACGUCCAUGGACUGUUAAAUUUGAUGGAGCCGCCACAUGAUGCUUACUAUGUCAGUCAACAGACGAUGCAGGGGCUGGGACAGUUGAACUCGAUUGCGUCUAGCCAUGAUGGUUUUUAUGGGGCUCAACAGAGCAUGCCCGGACUGGGGCAUCUCGACUUCAGACAACCAGCUUUCACUUAUGGCAUGGCGGAUGAGCAUAAUGUGAGACCGGCCCAGUUGCACGGCACUGCUAGACAUGCUUGAGGAGUUCAAGAUGACGGUCGCAGAUGUAGAUAAAUUAGAACCUCAGAAGUCUUUUAAGAACUCUGCAGCUUCUGAAUUUCUGCAGAGAAGAUCCACUAACUUUUUGAUGUAAAGUCACAUUAAAAUUUAUCAUUUAUGAAGAAAUCUCUGAUUUCUUUCUACCAAAUGAGCAUGGGGCCUCUGUACUAUGCAAACAUGCCCUUGAAAUUCUAAUUAGGCUGAAGGAAUGGGAAGAAAUGAAGAAUGAAGUGUGUCUCUUGGAUUCGGAAAUUCUAGCCUGAAUUGGGUUUUAGCUGCAUCUAAUCCAACGGUACAGAUUGAAACUACUUUAUGGAUAAUUACGUCGCCUUCCUUUGAGAUAUGGCCGUUAAAAGAACCCUAACGUGCUUGAUAAAAUCACUCUUUUACCCUUCAUUGUAAAUCACACAAACCUCCUUGAGGUUUAUUCAAAUUACGUGGACAUCCCCUAUGUUUUGUCA
Molecule: RNA transcript, 3402 nt
Organism: Sesamum indicum (sesame)
Lineage: Eukaryota; Viridiplantae; Streptophyta; Magnoliopsida; Lamiales; Pedaliaceae
Gene: FAR1
Gene name: FRS (FAR1 Related Sequences) transcription factor family
Source: RefSeq, a predicted model, not a curated record